The submitters of this non-coding RNA (142 nucleotides) gave its source as unclassified sequences. The record is from Rfam.
AAUUAACUUAAGAGGCAACUCUUAACUGACCGACUGGGGAAAUGCCGAGAGGUUCAAGCCCAGGGGGCAGAAAACUCUGUUGAGUAGCGCUAAAAUGGCGGAGUGCAAAGGCAUGGCGGUAGCGCCUACAACGACGUGCCAA